Molecule: long non-coding RNA, 687 nt
Organism: Electrophorus electricus (electric eel)
Lineage: Eukaryota; Metazoa; Chordata; Actinopteri; Gymnotiformes; Gymnotidae
Source: RefSeq, a predicted model, not a curated record
CACACACACACACACACACACACACACACACACACACACACACACACACACAAGUCCACUACUACUCAAAGAGUUAUGAAUCAAGUUGAGACUUUGUCAUUCCAGCUUCCUCCUAUCCAGGACACCAGCAGACAGGAAGUCCUCCUCCUAAAGAGUCCCCACAUCUACCAGACCACUGGAGUGCUGUCUGCUCAUUUCCAGUUACCCCAGACCCAGUCCAGAGUUCCUCUACAGAUCUUCAUACUCACUGUCCAGUCCUGAAACAAGGUCCUGCCCCAAGGAGGGAUAUAAGGAAGUGUAUUGGAGGAAGAAGAAAUAUAAAGAUGAUAUUUUGGACAUCUGCUUGUGUCAGUUUUGAUAUUUGAUUUGGUGCUUGGCCUCUUUCCCCCCUUACUCUGAUUCUGAGCUUGUUUGAUCCCUCUAACUUGGCCACUGUUGUAAAUUUGUAUAUAGUGUGUAUGUAUUUGUGUGCUCUGGAAAGCAGGGAAGGGCUGCCGUUGAGUUUGGGCCCUGGGUUAUUUUCUCUGUGUUAUCACUUAGGGAGUUAAUGUAGUCUUAUCUUAGUAUAGGAUAUUAUCAGAGGAUGGUUGUGAUCCAUCAGCCUGUGGGUUAUGGUCCCAGCACACUUCCACUGCACCACUCUGCUCUCCUGCUAAUAGAGAAAUAAUAAAAUACCUACAAACUCAC